Molecule: long non-coding RNA, 2674 nt
Organism: Wyeomyia smithii (pitcher-plant mosquito)
Lineage: Eukaryota; Metazoa; Arthropoda; Insecta; Diptera; Culicidae
Exons: 3
Source: RefSeq, a predicted model, not a curated record
GAUAAUGCGGCAUAUUUCCAACACGUUCAACGCUGUUUUUCGCCUAUGUUCAUCCAGGAUACACACCUCAUUCAACUUGAAUGGAUGGUUCUUGUCGAUGCUGUGUUGGAGUAAAGCAGUUUUUUCCCUCAGGUGAUGUAUUUUGGCAAUAGUGGAUGGGCUGGUGGCAUGUUCGUUUGGCUUGAGCUCAUUCAGUUUUUUAAUGUUCGACCGGUGGUUGCUGCUUCUUGUUUUAAGAGGCUGUGUAGUGAGUCCAACAUAGCAUGCAUCGCAGUUUGCACAGGGAAUUUUGUAAAUGACGUUGCUGCGAUCUAAUGUUGCGAUCCGAUCUUUGGUGUUCGUGAACAAAUAGUUUAUGGUGUGCUCAUUACGUGUAGCUAGGGUAAUUUCUAUACGUAGUGAUUUCUUUAUGCGCGCCGAUAAUCUGUCGAUGUAGGGCAAUGGUUUGAAUGUUGUUGGCAAUGUUUCUGCUAGGGCAUUUUGUACGUUCCUUCUCAUUGAUCUGUUCUGGAAUCUAUUUCGCAGCGAUAAAGGAUAGUGGUUGAUCUUAAGAUGUUCGUCUAUGAUGUCGUUGAUCGCUUCUGGGGGGAGGUUUGUGUUGAGUUUUCGUACUCUCAUGAUAAAGUUGGCAACCACAUUCAUUUUCAUAUGCAACAAGUGACAAGAGAAAUAGUCCAGGAAUCUACCCGAGGCCAUGGGUUUGGAAUACCAAUACCGUUUUGAUGGACUGGUCUGCUUUGCGGACUAGCACCAUGUCGAGAUAUGGAAUUCUACCUUCCUCUUCGCUUUCACACGUGAACUGUAGGUUGCUGUCAUAGCUAUUAAAUACAUCUAGAACUUCUUCGACUUUAUCUGCGGGCACUGCAAGGAUUAAGUCAUCUACAUAUUUUUUCAAAAGUGGGAACUAGUGAAUAGAGAUACCACAUCCAACGAAAUAAGAAUGUAGUUUGGUGGCAGUCGUACCGUAUUAAUGUACUCGCAGAAACUGUAAGAGUCUGUUACAUUAUACUCACACUCAAUCGAUGCUCGCACGAUGCGUCCGAUAUAUUUAGACAGCAUGUAUGAUGGUCCUCCGAUGUUGGGUACGACUGGCCGGAGCGGUAGGUCCUGCUUAUGUACUUUUGGUAGUCCAUAUAUUCUUGGGCAAUGCGAUGACAAAGUGCGUAGCUGAUAGGCUGUGGUUGAAUCAAUCAACUCUAAGUUUAGCAGUCGAUUCACCAGAUCGUUGUUUUGCUUUUGAAAACCCGAUCUAGUGGUUUUCGUGGUGUGUUCAGUGUGUGUUUGCAAAAAAUUAUCCUGGAACCGAAGAAAACUCUGUGCGAUAUGUUCAGGCAGGAUAUGCACAAUCCGUCCUAUGCGUAUUGAGAAAUUACCCUAGCUACACGUAAUGAGCACACCAUAAACUAUUUGUUCACGAACACCAAAGAUCGGAUCGCAACAUUAGAUCGCAGCAACGUCAUUUACGAAAUUCCCUGUGCCAACUGCGAUGCAUGCUAUGUUGGACUCUCAAAAGCAUCUCAAAACAAGAAACAGCAACCACCGGUCGAACAUUAAAAAACUUGAUGAGCUCAAGCCAAACGAACAUGCCACCAGCCCAUCCACUAUUGCCAAAAUACAUCACCUGAGGGAAAAAACUGCUUUACUCCAACACAGCAUCGACGAGAACCAUCCAUUCAAGUUGAAUGGGGUGUGUAUCCUGGAUGAACAUAGGCGAAAAACAGCGUUGAACGUGUUGGAAAUGUGCCACAUUAACACGAACGACCAUACAGUAAACAAACGCAGUGAUGUUGAAGGCUUGAGCACAACAUAUACAGCAAUCAUGCAACACGUCAAGCGAAGUACAGAAAUAAACAACAGCAAACGUCAACGGUCGCUAACAGCUUCCACCGAGUGUCACACAGCAUAACUUGUGCGCAAUAGAAUUUGCAUGCAAGGUUGCUGGUUACGGAAAAAAUGAUUUAGUAUGAUUGAGAGUGCUACGAGUUCCGCUUCGUUAAAGUGUCUAGUGUUUUAUUUUUUAAUUUUCAUAAUGUUGUUUAGUAUCUGUUUUUGACAAUUAAUGCUCUAGCCAAAGAACCACUUUACAGGAAAAUGGUCCCCUCGAGCCUUGAUAAAGAAUAUAUAUUAUUCGAAACGUCGGUGUAAGAGAAAAAUAUCGUUUUCUUUUCACAUUUUAAAGACUGCGAAGCCGAAAGAAAUUCCUCUGAGUAAACUAACAGUCGAUAAAAAGUAUAGUGAUUUGUGCAACGUAAUAACAAUGAUAUGUACAACAAAACACGCAACGCAUCACGGGACAAAACACUUAUGGUUCUUACAAACGGAAAAAACGGAUGUUGUUGUCGGACCGUCGUCGAGUUCGGACGCGCGUGCUGCACUAUAGUAUAUAUAUAUACAUUUUUUUUUUACUACUUAACUUUUUUUGUACCUCAACUUUUUUUUUUUCAUCCAACCGACGACGUGUGGAACGCGCGCAAGCAUUCAAAAGUAGUUUAUUUGUUUUUACUUGAUACGGUCAUUUGUUAACGUCGCGAGUGCAAUGAAGUGCGGUAUCGUAAACUGUGCGCAAGGUGACAAUCGCUACCUCUGGCGUUGUCACGGAAUCUGUAACCGAACAUUUCAUGCUGCGUGCAUAGGUGCACAAAGAAAUCACGAGGAAAUCCUGCGGACUUUUAUG